GUUAUUAUUUUUCCUCCGCUUUAAACUGGAAAAUGGCCCACUUCCCACUGGCGAAAACUCAGGAAAUUUGGCAGGACGACCGGGCCUGGUGAAAAAUUCGAUAUUCUGAAGUCGCCCAAAAAAUCAAAUGCAAAAUGGCUCCAUAGCGCCCCCUAAGGUGAAAAUUCACAUGACGGCUGUACGCUUUGUCAUAUUGACACAAAAAUUGACACACACGUGUAUCUCAAUAAGAUCUACAAAAAAGUCAGUGCGGGCGUAUCUGUCAAAUGUACGGUUAAUGGGUUAUUUUUCAUUUUUUGCAGAUCUGCACACAUUGGAAUUUCGCUAACUCCUCCGAAGGCUUUCGUUCGACCGGCACCACAUUUGCGCAGGCCAAUCUACACCCCAUGGCCAUUAAAAGUUGUACAAAUCAUGACGCUGCACCCCACGGUUUAUGUUCUAGGGGGCGCCAAAGAUAACCCAAAAAUCCACAUUCUUAAAAGUGUUAUAACUUUUUACUUUUGUCCUCACUGGCCUCCAAGUUUUCUAGGAUGAUGCAAUGUCCAGCCAUCAACACAUUUGUGAAGGAAUUUUUACUCCCUAAAAGAGCGCCCCCCCAUGGCAGGAGAAAAAAGUCCAUUUUUUCUUGUCUCCAAAGGUCAAAAUACACAUUGUCGAGUGUCACGCCUGUAUGCUUUGUCAUAUUGACACAAAAUUUGACAAUCACGUGUAUCUCAAUAAGAUCUACGAAAAAGUCAAAGGGCAUGUAUCUGUCAAAUGUACGGUUAAAGGGCUAUUUUGCAUUUUUUGCUGAUCCGCACACAUUGGCAGGAAGAACAGCAAACGCCGAUGAAGGAAAGAGUCUUUGCAGUGAUGGGCGUUACCAGAGAGGGCGAUGGCCAGAGGACGCGAAUGGGACGGGGAGGCAGCGCGUUGGGGGGGGCAGCGCGACACGGCUCGGGCCCGCCAGUGCCCCAACGGGGCCCUAGUUAGGGCCCGAGCGUAGCUGCUAAGCAGCUGCGAGAGCCCUCUUGUUCCUGCAUGUUUCCUUCUUUCGUUAUUAUUUUUCCUCCGCUUUAAACUGGAAAAUGGCCCACUUCCCACUGGCGAAAACUCAGGAUAUUUGGCAGGACGACCGGGCCUGGUGAAAAAUUCGAUAUUCUGAAGUCGCCCAAACAAUAAUAUGCAAAAUGGCUCCAUAGCGCCCCCUAAGGUGAAAAUUCACAUGACGGCUGUACGCUUUGUCAUAUUGACACAAAAAUUGACACACACAUGUAUCUCCAUAAGAUCUACAAAAAAGUCAGUGCGGGCGUAUCUGUCAAAUGUACGGUUAAUGGGUUAUUUUGCAUUUUUUGCAGAUCUGCACACAUUGGAAUUUCGCUAACUCCUCCGAAGGCUUUCGUUCGACCGGCACCACAUUUGCGCAGGCCAAUCUACCCCCCAUGGCCAUUAAAAGUUGUACAAAUCAUGACGCUGCACCCCACGGUUUAUGUUCUAGGGGGCGCCAAAGAUAACCCAAAAAUCCACAUUCUUAAAAGUGUUAUAACUUUUUACUUUUGUCCUCACUGGCCUCCAAGUUUUCUAGGAUGAUGCAAUGUCCAGCCAUCAACACAUUUGUGAAGGAAUUUUUACUCCCUAAAAGAGCGCCCCCCCAUGGCAGGAGAAAAAAGUCCAUUUUUUCUUGUCUCCAAAGGUCAAAAUACACAUUGUCGAGUGUCACGCCUGUAUGCUUUGUCAUAUUGACACAAAAUUUGACAAUCACGUGUAUCUCAAUAAGAUCUACGAAAAAGUCAAAGGGCAUGUAUCUGUCAAAUGUACGGUUAAAGGGCUAUUUUGCAUUUUUUGCUGAUCCGCACACAUUGGAAUUUCACUAACUCCUCCGAAGGCUAUCUUUCCACCGGCACCAAAUUUGCUCAGGCCAAUCUACACCCCAUGGCCAUUAAAAGUUGUACAAAUCAUCUUGCUGCACCCCACGGUUUGGGUUCUAGGGGGCACCAAAUAUAACCCAAAAAUCCACAUUCUUAAAAGUGUUAUAACUUUUUAUUUUUUUCCAUACUGGCCUCCAAGUUUUUUAGGAUGAUGCAAUGUCCAGCCAUCAACACAUUUGUAUCUGUAUAAUGUACGGUUAAAGGGCUAUUUUGCAUUUUUUGCCGAUUCGCACACAUUGGAAUGUGGCUAUCUCCUCCUAAGGCUUUCGUCCCACCGAUACCAAAUUUGCUCAGGGCAAUCUACACCCCAUGCCCAUUCAAAGUUGUAAAAAUCAUGACGCUGCACCCCACGGUUUACGUUCUAGUGGGCGCCAAAGAUGACCCAAAAAUCCACAUUCUUAAAAGUCAUUUUGGCCACUGCAGGAGUACAGAGUACUGCAGUUCUAGGGGGCGCCAAAGAUGACCCAAAAAUCCACAUUCUUAAAAGUCUUUUUGGCCACUGCAGGAGUACAGAGUACUGCAGGAUACACACACAUAUACACACACGCCAACAUACACACACACACACACACACACACACUCAGAGUCUGUUUUUAAGCACCUGCAAAAACAUGCUGUUUACAUAUUUGACAAGAAUGCAGAGGCUUCCUUUUGCCCCUGAAAAAAAUCAAAUUUCAAACACAACUUGACUGUUCAUUUCUCCAAAAGACAACCAUGAAGCUCCAUUUCAAACCUGAAGCAGAUAGUUGGUGCAUGUGUACAGUAACCUGAGGGGAGUGAGGUGACUAUUUCUGAGGAGAACAUAAGCAGUGAAGAUUCACCUUGGAGCUAGAACAGGGACGUGCACAUGAUUAUACAGGGGCAGGGGCUCAAGUUUUUUCCAGUCAUUUAUACAAUAUGGAAAUUAAUGUGAAAUUAAACCACAAAUAUGUGUGAUGAACUGUUUUUAAAACUUAAACUUCAAAUAAAAAUUGUAAACUUCAAAACAUAUGCAAAUUUUUAACAAAGAACAUAGUAAUUUACCUCUAUUUACAUCAAAAUGCAGGCAAUGGCCCAGGCGUUCUUUGUAAAAUUAUUUACAAAACACUGUAUAGUCUCACAAAUGUCACUUUUUAUUUAUGCCACUACAAAAAAACAUGAUGUAAAUGAUGCAUGAUGUAAAACAUGAUGUAAAAAACUUGUGUAGAUCCUCCUCUAUGUUAGUCCAUGUGUAAUUUUUCCAUAAUUCUUUGUUUUUUGCAGCAUUUUUGUUAGUGUAACUGCAGAUUGUGCUGACAGUGUCUAUGGCAAAAAAAAAAAAAAACUGAAAAUGCCUCAACAUGAACCCCUGGUGGUCUCUGAGGGUGAAACCUGCUAACUGCUGCAGCUCUGUCAGCUUUAGUCUCCCAUGCAGAGCUCGGAGCGCAUGUGUGGCUCUGCACCCUUAGCAGCGUUGCUAACUCCUCAGUAAGGAAAGCCUGCUUCAUGUCAGAGUCUCUAAACUCCAGAAGAAGUCGAUAAAAGUCCCUUUCUUUCUAAAAAAAGUCGUUAGGGGGUCUGAAAAGUCAUUGAAUCUAACAACAAAGUCGCUAGGUUUGCAACUACGUGUCCCAGACUGCAUCCCUGCUGAGAGUUCCUCCCUCCCUUCUCAUGUUGCAGGAAGAACGUAAGCGCCCGCCCCUUGUCAAUCAGUCACCAUAUAAUUUUGGAUUGGUUGUUGUGGUGAAGUUUUCCACCAAUAGGAGAGAUGUUGUGGUGUGUUUUUUUUUUCUUUUGGCAAGCCUUUUCCGCCUGUAAGACCUGUCGCUAAUGUCUGCAUGCUAUGUUUUCCUGUCUCAUACAGCGCGAUCGAGCGCCGAACGUGAUCAAAAUAAGCAGAAAAAAAGUAUCGCGGACAUAAUUUAUCAUAACUCUGGUUUUAUUUGGCCUAUCAACACAAUUUGAAAACUGGUGUAUAGUUUGAGGUCCUCACUUUUGAGAUAAGUUGAAACGGAGAGUCAACGAGGCUCCGUCUUGCUGCUACAUCCGGUUAAAUAUGUAAUGUGACUUGAACGCUGGGGAGCGUCAAUCGACUGCAGAGCCAGCAGACAAAGUAGUUGUGGCCACUGAAAGGCACAUAUUUGUCAUAUGCUAUAAUCCUAACAUAUUUUAAUGCUUUUUCUAUUUAAACCUAAUGGAUCUAAGGUUUGACCUUCAAAAUUUAGGAAGAAUAUGUUUUUGCAGUAAUGACCCCGUUAAACAACCAGAGGUCCUUUCCUAAAGUUUAUGGAAAUUUUAGUGAAGGCCUUGGUUUCUUUCCUUGCAAAAUGUAUAGAAAUAAUAAAGCUAAAUUCCAUAAAAAGGUCUUGGCGUAUUAGCAGUGAUAUAAAAUAGUGGUUUGAAUAUGAAUGAACAACAACAAAAAAAAAACAUCAACAGAGCCUUUUUGAGUUGGGAUUCUUUCAUUAUCACACAAAAACAGACAUAGACAGACAUCUAAAGGGUAAGGGAAUGAUCAGCCCUCCUAACUCUCAGAUGAAUCUUCAAAAUUCACCUCAGAAAUAUGCUUAUUAUUCUUCUCAGAGUACUGCAGGAUAUACACACACACACUCAGAGUCUUUUUUUUUAGCACCUGCAAAAACAUGCUAUUUACAUAUUUGACUAGAAUGCAGAGGCCCCUUUUUGCCCCUGAAAAAAAUCAAAUUUCAAACACAACUUGACUGCUCAUUUCUCCAAAAGACAACCAUGAAGCUCCAUCCAAACCUGAAGCAGGCAGUUGGUGCAUGUGUACAGUCACCUGAGGAAAGUGAGGUGACUACUUCUGAGGAGAACAUGAGCAGUGAAGAUUCACCUUGGAGCUAGAACAGGGACGUGCACAUGAUUAUACAGGGGCAGGGGCUCAAGUUUUUUCCAGUCAUUUAUACAAUAUUGAAAUUAAUGUGAAAUUAAAAAACAAGUAUUAAUAGAAAGGUUAUGACUGUCCUGUGUAGAUGACAGUGAUAUCCAAUAGGCUAGGCACUCACGAGGCUGGCUGUGGCAAGUGUAAGUGAAAGCAACACGCACUGGCAGGAAGAACAGCAAACGCCGAUGAAGGAAAGAGUCUUUGCAGUGAUGGGCGUUACCAGAGAGGGCGAUGGCCAGAGGACGCGAAUGGGACGGGGAGGCAGCGCGUUGGGGGGGGCAGCGCGACACGGCUCGGGCCCGCCAGUGCCCCAACGGGGCCCUAGUUAGGGCCCGAGCGUAGCUGCUAAGCAGCUGCGAGAGCCCUCUUGUUCCUGCAUGUUUCCUUCUUUCGUUAGGGCCCGAGCGUAGCUGCUAAGCAGCUGCGAGAGCCCUCUUGUUCCUGAUGGAUUCUUCUUUUGUUAUUAUUAUUAUUAUUUUUCCUCCGCUUUAAACUGGAAAAUGGCCCACUUCCCACUGGCGAAAACUCAUGAAAUUUGGCAGGACGACCGGGCCUGGUGAAAAAUUCGAUAUUCUGAAGUCGCCCAAACAAUAAAAUGCAAAAUGGCUCCAUAGCGCCCCCUAAGGUGGAAAUUCACACUAUUGACUGUCACAUCUGUACGUUUUGUCAUAUUGACACAAAAAUUGACACACAUAUGUAUCUCAAUAAGAUCUACAAAAAAGUCAGUGCGGGCGUAUCUGUCAAAUGUACGGUUAAAGGGUUAUUUCGCAUUUUUUGCCGAUCCGCACACAUUGGAAUUUCGCUAACUCCUCCGAAGGCUUUCGUUCCACCGGCACCACAUUUGCUCAGGCCAGUCUACACCCCAUGGCCAUUCAAAGUUGUACAAAUCAUGACGCUGCACCCCACGGUUUAGGUUCUAGGGGGCGCCAAAGAUAACCCAAAAAUCCACAUUCUUAAAAGUCUUAUAACUUUUUAUUUUUGUCCUCACUGCCCUCCAAGUUUUCUAGGAUGAUGCAAUGUCCAGCCAUCAACACAUUUGUGAAGUAAUUUUUACUCCCCAAAAGAGCGCCCCCCCAUGGCAGGAGAAAAAAGUCAAUUUUUUCUUGUCCCCUUACAUGAAAAUACACAUUGUUGAGUGUCACGCCUGAACGCUUUGUCAUAUUGACACAAAAAUUGACAAUCAUGUGUAUCUCAAUUAGAUCUACGAAAAAGUCAAAGAGCGCGUAUCUGUAUAAUGUACGGUUAAAGGGCUAUUUCGCAUUUUUUGCCGAUUCGCACACAUUGGAAUGUGGCUAUCUCCUCCUAAGGCUUUCGUCCCACUGAUACCAAAUUUGCUCAGGGCAAUCUACACCCCAUGCCCAUUCAAAGUUGUAAAAAUCAUGACGCUGCACCCCACGGUUUACGUUCUAGGGGGCGCCAAAGAUGACCCAAAAAUCCACAUUCUUAAAAGUCAUUUUGGCCACUGCAGGAGUACAGAGUACUGCAGUUCUAGGGGGCGCCAAAGAUGACCCAAAAAUCCACAUUCUUAAAAGUCAUUUUGGCCACUGCAGGAGUACAGAGUACUGCAGUUCUAGGGGGCGCCAAAGAUGACCCAAAAAUCCACAUUCUUUAAAAGUCUUUUUGGCCACUGCAGGAGUACAGAGUACUGCAGGAUACACACACAUAUACACACACGCCAACACACACACACACACACACUCAGAGUCUGUUUUUUAGCACCUGCAAAAACAUGCUGUUUACAUAUUUGACAAGAAUGCAGAGGCUUCCUUUUGCCCCUGAUAAAAAUCAAAUUUCAAACACAACUUGACUGUUCAUUUCUCCAAAAGACAACCAUGAAGCUCCAUUUCAAACCUGAAGCAGAUAGUUGGUGCAUGUGUACAGUAACCUGAGGGGAGUGAGGUGACUAUUUCUGAGGAGAACAUGAGCAGUGAAGAUUCACCUUGGAGCUAGAACAGGGACGUGCACAUGAUUAUACAGGGGCAGGGGCUCAAGUUUUUUCCAGUCAUUUAUACAAUAUGGAAAUUAAUGUGAAAUUAAAAAACAAAGUAUUAAUAGAAAGGUUAUGACUGUCCUGUGUAGAUGACAGUGAUAUCCAAUAGGCUAGGCACUCACGAGGCUGGCUGUGGCAAGUGUAAGUGAAAGCAACACGCACUGGCAGGAAGAACAGCAAACGCCGAUGAAGGAAAGGGUCUUUGCAGUGAUGGGCGUUACCAGAGAGGACGAUGGCCAGAGGACGCGAAUGGGACGGGGAGGCAGCGCGUUGGGGGGGGCAGCGCGACACGGCUCGGGCCCGCCAGUGCCCCAACGGGGCCCUAGUUAUUAUUUUUCCUCCGCUUUAAACUGGAAAAUGGCCCACUUCCCACUGGCGAAAACUCAGGAUAUUUGGCAGGACGACCGGGCCUGGUGAAAAAUUCGAUAUUCUGAAGUCGCCCAAACAAUAAUAUGCAAAAUGGCUCCAUAGCGCCCCCUAAGGUGAAAAUUCACAUGACGGCUGUACGCUUUGUCAUAUUGACACAAAAAUUGACACACACAUGUAUCUCCAUAAGAUCUACAAAAAAGUCAGUGCGGGCGUAUCUGUCAAAUGUACGGUUAAUGGGUUAUUUUGCAUUUUUUGCAGAUCUGCACACAUUGGAAUUUCGCUAACUCCUCCGAAGGCUUUCGUUCGACCGGCACCACAUUUGCGCAGGCCAAUCUACCCCCCAUGGCCAUUAAAAGUUGUACAAAUCAUGACGCUGCACCCCACGGUUUAGGUUCUAGGGGGCGCCAAAGAUAACCCAAAAAUCCACAUUCUUAAAAGUCUUAUAACUUUUUACUUUUGUCCUCACUGGCCUCCAAGUUUUCUAGGAUGAUGCAAUGUCCAGCCAUCAACACAUUUGUGAAGGAAUUUUUACUCCCCUAAAGAGCGCCCCCCAAUGGCAGGAGAAAAAGGUCCAUUUUUUCUUGUCUCCUAAGGUGAAAAUACACAUUGUCGAGUGUCACGCCUGUAUGCUUUGUCAUAUUGACACAAAAUUUGACAAUCACGUGUAUCUCAAUAAGAUCUACGAAAAAGUCAAAGGGCAUGUAUCUGUCAAAUGUACGGUUAAAGGGCUAGUUUGAAUUUUUUGCCGAUCCGCACACAUUGGAAUUUCGCUAACUCCUCCGAAGGCUAUCUUUCCACCGGCACCAAAUUUGCUCAGGCCAAUCUACACCCCAUGGCCAUUAAAAGUUGUACAAAUCAUCUUGCUGCACCACACGGUUUGGGUUCUAGGGGGCACCAAAUAUAACCCAAAAAUCCACAUUCUUAAAAGUCUUAUAACUUUUUAUUUUUUUCCAUACUGGCCUCCAAGUUUUUUGGGAUGAUGCAAUGUCCAGCCAUCAACACAUUUGUGAAGAAAUUUUUACUCCCCAAAAGAGCGCCCCCCAUGGCAGGAGAAAAAAGUCCAUUUUUUCUUAUCCCGAAAGGUGAAAAUACACGUUGUUGAGUGUCACGCCUUUACGCUUUGUCAUAUUGACAAAAAAUUUGACAAUCACGUGUAUCUCAAUAAGAUCUAUGAAAAAGUCAAUGGGCACGUAAGUGUAAAAUGUACAGUUAAAGGGCUAUUUUGCAUUUUUUGGCGAUUCGCACACAUUGGAAUGUGGCUAAGUCCUCCUAAGGCUUUCGUCCCACUGACACCAAAUUUGCUCAGGCCAAUCUACACUCCAUGGCCAUUCAAAGUUGUAAAAAUCAUGACGCUGCACCCCACGGUUUACGUUUUAGGGGGCGCCAAAGAUGACCCAAAUAUACAUUACAGUAGACAAAGUAGUUUUGCCCACUGAGUGGCGCCAAAGGGACUUGUCUAUGGAGUCUGUGAGUCACUAUUGGCCGUUUUUGACUACUUUAGAUUUUACCUUUAUAUUUCCUCUUACAAAAUUUUUACCUUGCCUUGCCUGGUAUCAUUUUUUUCAGCACAACCUCACCUGUGUCAAUUUACAGUUAUUUUAUCAUUUUGACAUACUAUAUUUACACAUUUGACCCAAAUUCACACACAAAACAUAAAAUCCGAGUGGAAAAAAGUAACGUUUUUACUGUGAAAACCACAAAUAUGUGUGAUGAACUGUUUUUAAAACUUAAACUUCAAAUAAAAAUUGUAAACUUCAAAACAUAUGCAAAUUUUUAACAAAGAACAUAGUAAUUUACCUCUAUUUACAUCAAAAUGCAGGCAAUGGCCCAGGCGUUCUUUGUAAAAUUAUUUACAAAACACUGUAUAGUCUCACAAAUGUCAUUUUUUAUUUAUGCCACUACAAAAAAACAUGAUGUAAAUGAUGCAUGAUGUAAAACAUGAUGUAAAAAACUUGUGUAGAUCCUCCUCUAUGUUAGUCCAUGUGUAAUUUUUCCAUAAUUCUUUGUUUUUUGCAGCAUUUUUGUUAGUGUAACUGCAGAUUGUGCUGACAGUGUCUAUGGCAAAAAAAAAAAAAAAACUGAAAAUGCCUCAACAUGAACCCCUGGUGGUCUCUGAGGGUGAAACCUGCUAACUGCUGCAGCUCUGUCAGCUUCAGUCUCCCAUGCAGAGCUCGGAGCGCAUGUGUGGCUCUGCACCCUUAGCAGCGUUGCUAACUCCUCAGUAAGGAAAGCCUGCUUCAUGUCAGAGUCUCUAAACUCCAGAAGAAGUCGAUAAAAGUCCCUUUCUUUCUAAAAAAAGUCGUUAGGGGGUCUGAAAAGUCAUUGAAUCUAACAACAAAGUCGCUAGGUUUGCAACUACGUGUCCCAGACUGCAUCCCUGCUGAGAGUCCCUCCCUCCCUUCUCAUAUUGCAGGAAGAACGUAAGCGCCAGCCCCUUGUCAAUCAGUCACCAUAUAAUUUUGGAUUGGUUGUUGUGGUGAAGUUUUCCACCAAUAGGAGAGAUGUUGUGGUGUGUUUUUUUUUUCCUUUGGCAAGCCUUUUCCGCCUGUAAGACCUGUCGCUAAUGUCUGCAUGCUAUGUUUUCCUGUCUCAUACAGCGCGAUCGAGCGCCGAACGUGAUCAAAAUGAGCAGAAAACAAGUAUCGCGGACAUAAUUGAUCAUAACUCUGGUUUUAUUUGGCCUAUCAACACAAUUUAAAAACUGGUAUAUAGGUUGAGGUCCUCACUUUUGAGAUAAGUUGAAACGGAGAGUCAACGAGGCUCCGUCUUGCAGCUACAUCCGGUUAAAUAUGUCAUGUGACUUGAACGCACACACAGACACACACGCACACACACACACACACACACACACACACACACACUCAGAGUCUGGUUUUUAGCACCUGCAAAAACAUGCUAUUUACAUAUUUGACAAGAAUGCAGAGGCUCCUUUUGCCCCUGAAAAAAAAAUCAAAUUUCAAACACAACUUGACUGGUCAUUUCUCCAAAAGACAACCAUGAAGCUCCAUCCAAACCUGAAGCAGGCAGUUGGUGCAUGUGUACAGUAACCUGAGGGGAGUGAGGUGAGUGCUUCUGAGGAGAACAUGAGCAGUGAAGAUUCACCUUGGAGCUAGAACAGAGACAUGCACAUGAUUAUACAGGGGCAGGGGCUCAAGUUUUUUCCAGUUGUUUAUACAAUAUGGGAAUUAAUGUGAAAUUAAAACACAAAGUAUUAAUAGAAAGGUAAUGACUGUCCUGUGUAGGUGACAGUGAUAUCCAAUAGGCUAGGCACUCACGAGGCUGGCUGUGGCAAGUGUAAGUGAAAGCAACACGCACUGGCAGGAAGAACAGCAAACGCCGAUGAAGGAAAAGGGUCUUUGCAGUGAUGGGCGUUACCAGAGAGGGCGAUGGCCAGAGGACACAAAUGGGACGGGGAGGCAGCACGUUGGGGGGGGGGACGCGACACGGCUCGGGCCCGCCAGUGCCCCAACGGGGUCCUAGUUUCUUCUUCUUCUUCUUCUUAUUAUUUUUCUGCCCCUUUGAACUGGAAAAUGGCCCCCUUUCCACUGGUGAAAACUCAUGAAAUUUGGCAGGACGACCGUGCCUGGUGAAAAAUUCGAUAUUCUGAAGUCACCCAAACAAUCAAAUGCAAAAUGGCUCCAUAGCGCCCCCUAAGGUGAAAAAUUCACAUGAUUGAGUGUCACGCCUGUACGCUUUGUCAAAAUGACACAAAAUUUGACACAC
Xyrichtys novacula (pearly razorfish) is the source of this 10849-nucleotide non-coding RNA. The record is from the annotation of a GenBank genome assembly. Lineage: Eukaryota; Metazoa; Chordata; Actinopteri; Labriformes; Labridae.